Molecule: transfer RNA, 69 nt
Filed under: Ictidomys tridecemlineatus (thirteen-lined ground squirrel)
Lineage: Eukaryota; Metazoa; Chordata; Mammalia; Rodentia; Sciuridae
Description: Spermophilus tridecemlineatus (thirteen-lined ground squirrel) tRNA
Rfam family: tRNA
About the family: Transfer RNA (tRNA) molecules are approximately 80 nucleotides in length. Their secondary structure includes four short double-helical elements and three loops (D, anti-codon, and T loops).
Source: Rfam by way of RNAcentral
GGAGUUGUAGCACAGUGAUAGAGCACUCGCCUGGAACACGUGAGACCCUGGGUUCGAUCCUCAGCACCA